UAAAAUUAAAGUGAAUUUAUUCCCAGUGGUUGUGGCAAGAGCUUUAGUGAUCCUCCAUUUCACUGCAGAAACAAUUUCAUUGCAGAAGAGUUUUCAUUUCGAGUUGUGAUGGUGAAAAGUGACAGAGUCCCCAGCUGCACCAGUAAGAGCAGCAGGCUCCAAGCAUGGGGCUGUCACACAGGAUUAGUCAUGUCCUUAGCCACAGGAAAGCCGAGAAGAACAAAUCUUGUAUCCUACGGUUAGCAGGUUCCUUUCACAGUCAGUGUUUUUCUGCUUACCUGCUGCCUGGGUGGUGGUUUGCCUGAACUGUCGUCCCUGUUUCACCUUGUGCUUGUGGAAAGUCCAGUUAUCAGUGGUACUAAAGGGGUGGAGGUUUUGUUUUAAUGCUGAGUUCUGGCUCCCAUUUAUUUUACAGAUGAGGACCCUUCACCAAAAAUGCCUGACUUCUGUAAGAUGCACCAUUCCUGAAGUGGGAAGGAUGGGAGCUGGGAAAAAAAAAAAGCACACAGCACAGAGGAUGCUUUCUGCAUUGAGAAGUACCUCUUCUCAUGGAACAACCUUUUCGUCAUUAUAAGAAGAGGAUUUAUGGUAGGUAAAAGCACAGUCCUUGACCGUGGGAGGUCUGCAUUCAAUUUCUGUUCCUCAGACAUCCUAGGCAAGUGACUGCUGCUUUCUUGUGCAACUCUUCAGCUAUCAAAUAUUGCUGCUUCUCCCAGGCAUGUUGCAGGCAUUAGCAGAGCCAGGCCUGCCUCAGGCGGGCAGCCUGUGUGUGGCAGUGGGAUGGGCAGGCUUGCUCACUGCUGGUCACGAAGUUAACCGCUGGUUUCACAAUUGGAAGAGGCCUCAGCAGCAGCAGGGCAGGAAGCAGAACCGGUGGCUGGAAGUGACUAAGCUCGGGACUGGGGGUGGGGUGAGAGAAGCAGUUGCUGAUCAGGAGAGCCUGGCACUGCCUGAACAGGAAAUCCUGGAAGCGUGUGACCUUGAAGGGAAAUGCAGGGGUGGGAUUUGGACCUCUCACCGUCUGGGACAGCAGUGGCAUCAACAGGACGUGUCUCCUAAUACAAGCCUGCCUGUGGGAAUACAGCCUUGCAAGUAAAUACAGUCUAGUACUCAGCAAUCCAGGAAUGAGUAUAACGUGCCCCUAACCAUAAUCUUUAUCCACAUCUGGAAGGUUAUCAAAUGUCUUCCUCUAGCAACUCAAAGCUCUUGCUCC
This 1213-nucleotide long non-coding RNA is filed under the name Strigops habroptila (Kakapo). RNAcentral's name for it is "lncRNA (ENSSHBG00005012551.1)". Lineage: Eukaryota; Metazoa; Chordata; Aves; Psittaciformes; Psittacidae. The record is from RNAcentral.